UAAAUUUCCAAGCAUCACUCGUAGGCUAUUUUAAUAAAAAAAAUUAAAAUCCGUAAUUGUACUCGCCAUCGCAUGAUUACCUAUACUAAACAGUCCUUAUCAGAGUAUUUACAGUAGUGUUUACAGUAAUUACCAACGCAAAUUCUUGAAGCUUUUACCUCUCUAACGACUUGUAUUACGUUUGUAUACUAUUCAUCAUAUACUAAUUAAUUUAAAUUGUUUUUGUCCGAUUAGAUUUAAUCCAAGCUUCCGACUUGUGAAUGUGCUUCGUUCUGACAUUCAAACAACGAUAAAAGUCGACACAAUGGAGAGUUUAUGUUUGGAAAAAUUCCUGCUGUGAGUGAAUUUAACUCAUACGUCAUCGUUGUAUCACUUUAUUGGACGAAACUUUUUUCACAUGCAUGUGAGAAAAUUGCAUCGCUUUUCUGAUUGGUUAAUGUGCAUUGCGAAACGAGUUUUUGCAUAGGUAAAUCCAGUGGGAAAACUCAGUAUAUACAUAAUAAAGUAUUGUUUUCCAUGUAGCACAUAAAAAUGAGAUAGAUCCAGACCAUUACAUAUUACCGAAGGAUCACUGGGUCACGACAGUUAAAGUACCCGUAACCCCAAAAUUGAUUUUCAGCUUACUAAAGAUGCGGUACAGUCCGAUCUGCGCAUGUGCACAAAGGAGCCCUCUUUUUAUUUACAAACAGUUUAUUUAAGUUUUUAUUUUAUUUUUUGCAAAGCAUGAUUGUUGUGUCUUCAUAAUUUAUUAUACUCUAGAAUCAUGAAAAUAUAAAUAGUUGUCGAAUAUAAUUCAAUAUUUAGGAUACCGAAAUGUAAACAAAGCUACUAACUCUUGACGAAGGAGCUUCGCUCGAAACGUCGAGUUAAUACGUUUCUGCUUGUUUUUUAAGGUAGUAAUAUAACCACUCAGCACAGCAUUGGUUUACAUACGGACUGUACCGCAUCUUUAACACAAUGCUACCACAAUCAUGGAAAUAAUAUCCGUAUACUUCGAUCUUUAGAACGUAUCUUGUCU
This is a non-coding RNA of Paramuricea clavata, 1018 nucleotides long. NCBI's taxonomy places the organism in Eukaryota, Metazoa, Cnidaria, Anthozoa, Malacalcyonacea, Plexauridae. The record is from the annotation of a GenBank genome assembly.